Molecule: non-coding RNA, 45 nt
Filed under: Schistosoma margrebowiei
Lineage: Eukaryota; Metazoa; Platyhelminthes; Trematoda; Strigeidida; Schistosomatidae
Source: RNAcentral
AUUCGGCCGACGAGUCCAAAGUGGGACGAAAUGUGCGUCCUGGAU